This 374-nucleotide ribosomal RNA is filed under the name uncultured organism. RNAcentral's name for it is "bacterial SSU rRNA". It matches the Rfam family "Bacterial small subunit ribosomal RNA", at positions 525 to 896 of the family's 1533-position model. The record is from RNAcentral.
CGGGGGGGGGUAAGCGUUGUUCGGAAUUACUGGGCGUAAAGGGCUCGUAGGCGGCCAACUAAGUCAUACGUGAAAUCCCUCAGCUUAACUGGGGAACUGCGUGUGAUACUGGAUGGCUUGGAUUUGGGGAGAGGGAUGCGGAAUUCCAGGUGUAGCGGCGAAAUGCGUAGAUAUCUGGAGGAACACCGGUGGCGAAGGCGGCAUCCUGGACCAAUAUUGACGCUGAGGAGCGAAAGCCAGGGGAGCAAACGGGAUUAGAUACCCCGGUAGUCCUGGCCCUAAACGAUGAAUGCUUGGUGUAGCGGGUAUCGAUCCCUGCUGUGCCGAAGCUAACGCAUUAAGCAUUCCGCCUGGGGAGUACGGUCGCAAGGCUG